AUUCAGAUUUAGGAGUGACUGACACAUAGACAGUAGGUAUAUGAGAUCAUCUAAGAAGACUCUGUAAAGAGAAAAGAGCAGCGGACCAAGGGUUGAACAUUGGGAAGCACCCGAGAUGGAAGAAGAGGAAAAACCGGCGAAACAGACAAAGAAGCAGUGGUCAGAGAUUCAUGAGAACAAGGAGAGGAUAUCAUCAGGAAAGCUAAGGGAAUAAAUAAUUUGAAAAAUUACCAAAGUAACAAAUAAGGCCCAAAUAGUAUCCAUGGGUUUUAGCAUUGACACUGUAGAUGUCAUUAGUGUCCCCAAAGAGAACAGUAAAUUGGAUGAGGCAGAAGGCAGACUUAUAGUGGCUGAGCAGUAAAAGGGAAGGAAAGAAGCUACUGUCAGAUUUUCUACUGCUGAAGGAAAGAAGCUAUUGUCAGAUGCUAGAGGAAAAUUUUGAUACAGUGACAGAGUUUGGAGCAAAAAGAAAUGAAAAGGUCUGCUGUAACGUGGAAGAAGGAAGUUUAAAAGCCACUGGAGAACAAAUGAUCACCUUUACCAAAGAGAAAGCAGGAAAUAGAAAAGGUAAACUCAAAACAAGAAAAUCAGUAAAUAGGAAAAUCUGAGUUCAGUCUAUCUAUGUGACGAACACCCAGUGCUUCCUCCUGCGUUUCUCUUUUCCUGUCACAGUAUUCCCACCCUCAGCACACUUCCCUUCUGUCACCACAUGUGUGGAGGUCUUGCCUAGCACCACCCAACAGCGCCCAUUUCCAGUGUGUGUUGGGGGAGGUUUUCCCUCCAUGCUACCAAGCAAUGCUCAGGACACGAGCCUGGCGUCCUACAAUUUAACUCAAUUCAGAUCAAUUCUGACGCUAUCCACCCAGAGACAGCUUCAGAGUCCACAGGUCAAGGGUUCAGUCCCGCAAGAACACCUCCCACCCCACUUCAGACGCCCAUCGCAAGCCCAGGCUGUUAUCUGUGCUUCUGCCCUACUGGCUGUAAACUGGAGGUUCCAACAACCCUUUCCCACUCAGAAUGCCAAUCCCAA
Molecule: long non-coding RNA, 1030 nt
Filed under: Equus caballus (horse)
Lineage: Eukaryota; Metazoa; Chordata; Mammalia; Perissodactyla; Equidae
Description: lncRNA (ENSECAG00000052874.1)
Source: RNAcentral